UGGUGGAGUGAUUUGUCUGGUUAAUUCCGUUAACGAACGAGACCUUAGCCUGCCAACUAGUCGCGGCGAUCUCGAUCGUCGUCGACUUCUUAGAGGGACUUUGUGGCACUAAACACAAGGAAGUUUGAGGCAAUAACA
This 138-nucleotide ribosomal RNA is filed under the name uncultured eukaryote. RNAcentral's name for it is "partial 18S ribosomal RNA". It matches the Rfam family "Eukaryotic small subunit ribosomal RNA", at positions 1299 to 1458 of the family's 1831-position model. The record is from RNAcentral.